UGGGGAAUAUUGCACAAUGGGGGAAACCCUGAUGCAGCGACGCCGCGUGAGUGAAGAAGUAUUUCGGUGUGUAAAGCUCUAUCAGCAGGGAAGAAAAAAGACGGUACCUGACUAAGAAGCCCCGGCUAACUACGUGCCAGCAGCCGCGGUAAUACGUAGGGGGCAAGCGUUAUCCGGAUUUACUGGGUGUAAAGGGAGCGUAGACGGCUAAGCAAGUCUGAAGUGAAAGCCCGGGGCUUAACCCCGGGACUGCUUUGGAAACUGUUAAGCUAGAGUGCUGGAGAGGUAAGUGGAAUUCCUAGUGUAGCGGUGAAAUGCGUAGAUAUUAGGAGGAACACCAGUGGCGAAGGCGGCUUACUGGACAGUAACUGACGUUGAGGCUCGAAAGCGUGGGGAGCAAACAGG
RNAcentral lists this ribosomal RNA (405 nucleotides) under uncultured bacterium. RNAcentral describes it as "bacterial SSU rRNA". It matches the Rfam family "Bacterial small subunit ribosomal RNA", at positions 355 to 776 of the family's 1533-position model. The record is from RNAcentral.